CCUANGGGUGGCAGCAGUCGAGAAUUUUUCACAAUGGGCGCAAGCCUGAUGGAGCGACGCCGCGUGGGGGAUGAAGGGUUUCGAUCCGUAAACCCCUGUCAUUUGCGAACAAACCUUAUGGGUGAACAGCCCAUGAAUUGAUUGUAGCGAAAGAGGAAGGGACGGCUAACUCUGUGCCAGCAGCCGCGGUAAUACAGAGGUCCCAAGCGUUGUUCGGAUUCACUGGGCGUAAAGGGUGCGUAGGCGGUCGGGUAAGUCUGACGUGAAAUCUUCGAGCUUAACUCGGAAACUGCGUCGGAUACUAUUCGGCUGGAGGAAUGGAGGGGAGACUGGAAUACUUGGUGUAGCAGUGAAAUGCGUAGAUAUCAAGUGGAACACCAGUGGCGAAGGCGAGUCUCUGGACAUUUCCUGACGCUGAGGCACGAAAGCCAGGGGAGCAAACGGGAUUAGAUACCCUGNUANUC
RNAcentral lists this ribosomal RNA (464 nucleotides) under uncultured bacterium. RNAcentral describes it as "bacterial SSU rRNA". It matches the Rfam family "Bacterial small subunit ribosomal RNA", at positions 338 to 795 of the family's 1533-position model. The record is from RNAcentral.